Molecule: ribosomal RNA, 474 nt
Filed under: uncultured bacterium
Lineage: Bacteria
Description: bacterial SSU rRNA
Rfam family: Bacterial small subunit ribosomal RNA
Source: RNAcentral
AGGACGAACGCUGGCGGCGUAGCUUAAGACAUGCAAGUCGAACGAAUGUAGAAAUACAUUAGUGGCGGACUGGUGAGUAACGUGUGAGCAAUCUGACCUUUAACUGGGGGAUAACACUUAGAAAUAGGUGCUAAUACCGCAUAAGACCACAUACAGGUAUCUGUAAGGGGUCAAAAGAUUUUAUCGGUUAAAAGAUGAGCUCGCAUCCCAUUAGAUAGUUGGUGAGGUAACGGCCCACCAAGUCAACGAUGGGUAGCCGACCUGAGAGGGUGAUCGGCCACACUGGAACUGAGAUACGGUCCAGACUCCUACGGGAGGCAGCAGUCGGGAAUAUUGGGCAAUGGAGGCAACUCCUGACCCAGCAACGCCGCGUGAAGGAAUAGAAGGUCUUCGGAUUGUAAACUUCUGUCGUGAGGGACGAAGAAUGACGGUACCUCACAAGAAAGCCCCGGCUAACUACGUGCCAGCAGCCGC